CAGGACUCGCAAGACUCCCGUAAACCACUGUGAACUUACCUACAACCCGUUGCCUCGGCGGGUGCUCCGGGCGUCUUCGGGCGCUCCGGGGCGCUCCAGCCCGCCGGCGGCCCCCCAAACUCUGUUUCUGUAACGUUGGCAUCUCCGAGCAGACUAUAAACGAGUCA
This 167-nucleotide unclassified non-coding RNA is filed under the name uncultured Codinaeopsis. RNAcentral's name for it is "sequence contains ITS1". The record is from RNAcentral. Lineage: Eukaryota; Fungi; Ascomycota; Sordariomycetes; Chaetosphaeriales; Chaetosphaeriaceae.